This 490-nucleotide ribosomal RNA is filed under the name uncultured bacterium. RNAcentral's name for it is "bacterial SSU rRNA". It matches the Rfam family "Bacterial small subunit ribosomal RNA", at positions 29 to 507 of the family's 1533-position model. The record is from RNAcentral.
AUUGAACGCUGGCGGCAGGCCUAACACAUGCAAGUCGAACGGCAGCGGGGGGUAGCUUGCUACCCCGCCGGCGAGUGGCGGACGGGUGAGUAAUGCCUGGGGAGCUGCCCAAUCGAGGGGGAUACCAGUUGGAAACGACUGCUAAUACCGCAUACGCCCUGAGGGGGAAAGGUGGGGAUCUUCGGACCUACCGCGAUUGGAUGCACCCAGGUGGGAUUAGCUAGUUGGUGAGGUAACGGCUCACCAAGGCGACGAUCUCUAGCUGGUCUGAGAGGAUGACCAGCCACACUGGAACUGAGACACGGUCCAGACUCCUACGGGAGGCAGCAGUGGGGAAUAUUGCACAAUGGGGGAAACCCUGAUGCAGCCAUGCCGCGUGUGUGAAGAAGGCCUUCGGGUUGUAAAGCACUUUCAGCGAGGAGGAGAGGUGGCUAGCUAAUACCUAGUUGCUGUGACGUUACUCGCAGAAGAAGCACCGGCUAACUCCGUG